ACAUGUGAAGAAACAGCUCCAGUUUUGGGUCGACUGUCAGCUUCCUUUGCUUCCUCUUGAGCAUCUGAGGUAGUGUUUCACUGAUCAGCCUCGUGAUUCACAGCACUGUGCCUGGAGAGACAGAUCCGUGCACUUGGAAAUAUUUACUCUCAUUUCAUCCAGCCUUCCUCUCCAGGCAAAUCCCUGCCCAUGCAAACAUCUUCAGGGCUGUUGGCCCUAUCAACCGGGCCGUGUCUGGCAUGAGUAGAAGGUUCUGGAGCACAAACUCACACUGAAGAAGAAGCCAAUGAAUCAUCUUUAAGUAUUUGUGACUGUGCAGACAAGUGGCUGAAGUUGUCAUUUGCUGGAGUGGCUGGACACCAACUGGAGAUCUUGGCACAGAGGGAAAUAAAUCCAGAGUGAAGUGACUCACAGGUACCCUUACCUGAGUCACUGGAUCAACAGCGCCCCCAGGGCUUCCACACAGGGUGGUCUUGAGUCAGCCUGCCUGCCUGACUUGCUUCUGGUAACAGAAUUUUGCAGCCCGCAUGAGGCUCUGAGCUGUUUCCCUUCACUGCUUCAAUUGCAUUUAUUUGCAUAUAUUUGUGAUGCACACACACACCACCACUGGAUCCCACAGACUCCUCUCCCUCCCUUUUCCUCUGGUGUAUACUAACCAAAUAGUUGAGGAUUUUCCUAAUGUCUCAAUGCUGUUGUAGCUCCUCUGCCUGAGAAAGGAUUCCUGGAGACUAAUGCUUCCUGACCAUGUCCCUCCACUAACCCCUUGUGCUGGCCACAUCCCUGCAUGAAGUCUGCCCUGAUGUUGGCUUGAGGCAUUUGCCAACAGCAAGCGGUUUUCUAUGCUGCAGACUUUUAGCUGUAAAUAUCUUCACUAACUUUUCUUGACCUCCAGAUAAAGUGCCAAAUGAACCAAAGGCCACACACACACAGCUCAGAAACGGAACUGGAAGAAUCAGGCCAUGUCAUCCAAAGUCAGUAUUUGCUAAAGAAGAUGACUUGAGAAGGUAUUAACUGGCCUCUGAGGAAAGGAUCCAGGACAUAAACAGGAGGCAGACGUCAUGCGCUCUGAAAGCAAGCUCCUCCCCAUAACAAAUGUUUGCACAAAAGCUGCUUCACCUUAACAUCCUCCAAGGAACUACAGACAUGGCAUGCGAGUGCAUCUAUUUUGGCCCACGACAAUCUAAUGCAUGGCUGAUCAAGUUUUUCUUCAGGAUCUUGUUACCAAGUUGAUUUAUUUAUUUGACAAUUAAUGGCUGUUUAAUUAAAAAGGCAUGUCUCAACAUCAGAUAAACAGCAUAUUCCCUCGGGAAGAAAUGGGGGACUUCCUCUUCUGAGAGCUACAGGUGGCCAGCACCUGUCUGGGACACAGGUCGCGACACUCAGCACUCCAUUGCCCUCCCGCUCCACAGCAGAGUGGCCUACGUGGACUGCAGUGAGGACUUGCUGUUCUUAAAAAUAAUAAACACACAGCCAUAAAGGCACCACAAACAUUUGAAUAAAGGAUUCAAUUAUGUUAAGAAAGAGCCAUGCUUUAGAGGAACAAAGUAAUGGCCCCGAGUGCAUAAAUUACAAUUGCUAUUUUGUUUGUGACAGUAUCUUGGUGGUGUAACUUAUUAGGCAUUAGCUAAAUGUGUUAAAACAGACAGAAGCCUUACCCUAGACUGUGUGGCUGGAAGGAGGGGAAUUAUUCUGUAGUAAUGAAGAUAUCCUUUCACUUUCAAAUAAAAAAAAAACCAAUGUCA
Peromyscus maniculatus bairdii (prairie deer mouse) is the source of this 1742-nucleotide non-coding RNA. The record is from RefSeq and is a predicted model, not a curated record. Lineage: Eukaryota; Metazoa; Chordata; Mammalia; Rodentia; Cricetidae.